AGUGAACGCUGGCGGCAGGCUUAACACAUGCAAGUCGAGCGGGCGUAGCAAUACGUCAGCCGCAGACGGGUGAGGAACGCGUGGGAACGUACCUUUUGGUUCGGAACAACACAGGGAAACUUGUGCUAAUACCGGAUAAGCCCUUACGGGGAAAGAUGUAUCUCCGAAAGAUCGGCCCGCGUCUGAUAAGCUAGUUGGUGAGGUAACGGCACACCAAGUCGACGAGUAGUAGAUGUGCUGAGAGGAAGAUCAGCCACAUUGAGACUGGGACACGGCACAAACUCCUACGCGAGGCAGCAGAGGGGGAUAUUGGAACAUGGCGGCGACCCUGAUGCACCCAUGCCGCGUAAGUGAUGAAGGCCCUAGGGAUGUAAAGCUCUUUUGUGCGGGAAGAUAAUGACGGUACCGAAAGAAUAAGCCCCGGCUAACUUCGUG
Molecule: ribosomal RNA, 435 nt
Filed under: uncultured bacterium
Lineage: Bacteria
Description: partial 16S ribosomal RNA
Rfam family: Bacterial small subunit ribosomal RNA
Source: RNAcentral